CGGGUUCUGCUCUGCGCGUGUCGGGCCCUUUUCCAGUGGCCGAUAAGCUUCUCCGAGGGGGCUGGCUCUGCCGGGAUCGUGGUCCCGGUAACCGGCGCCCACCUGGUAAUCCAGGCUCUCGGGAAAUUCACGCCUGCACGGCUGCUGCGGUUCCCGC
RNAcentral lists this small RNA (157 nucleotides) under Paracoccaceae bacterium. RNAcentral's name for it is "6S RNA". It matches the Rfam family "6S / SsrS RNA". Rfam says of the family: E. coli 6S RNA was the first non coding RNA to be sequenced, but its function was unknown until recently. It consists of 184 nucleotides that fold into an extended hairpin structure with a large single-stranded internal bulge. The record is from RNAcentral. Lineage: Bacteria; Pseudomonadati; Pseudomonadota; Alphaproteobacteria; Rhodobacterales; Paracoccaceae.